GCCGGCGUCGCGGUUGCUCGCGCUCUGGGCCCUGGCGGCUGUGGCUGUACCCGGCUCCGGGGCGGAGGGCGACGGCGGGUGGUGAGCGGCCCGGGAGGGGCCGGGCGGUGGGUCACGUGCGGCGGGCGGGGCGCGGGCUGACCCAGCUGUGCCCGCAGGCGCCCGGGCGGGCCGGGGGCCGUGGCGGAGGAGGAGCGCUGCACGGUGGAGCGUCGGGCCGACCUCACCUACGCGGAGUUCGUGCAGCAGUACGUGCGCCCCUGAUCGCGGAGGUCGCGUCCUGUUCACCGGCCCGUCUGCCCCGACCGCCCAAGGCCGCCUUCCCCUGACCUCGCGCGCACGCGUGGGGCUGGGGCGGCGAGGGUGGCGGUCCGGCCUGGCCGCGACUCUGCCCUUCUUUCCAGGUACGCCUUCGUCAGGCCCGUCAUCCUGCAGGGACUCACGGACAACUCGGUGAGCGCGUGCCCGUCCGUCCCCGGCCACUCUCGCCCGUGCUGGGCCCGGCCACUAAGUCCCCUCCCCGCCCCCGCAGAGGUUCCGGGCCCUGUGCUCCCGCGAAAGGUUGCUGGCUUCGUUUGGGGACAGAGUGGUCCGGCUGAGCACCGCCAACACCUACUCCUACCACAAAGUGGACUUGCCCUUCCAGGAGUAUGUGGAGCAGCUGCUGCACCCCCAGGACCCCACCUCCCUGGGCAAUGACACCCUGUACUUCUUCGGGGACAACAACUUCACCGAGUGGGCCUCUCUCUUUCGGCACUACUCCCCACCCCCAUUUGGCCUGCUGGGAACCGCUCCAG
This 797-nucleotide small RNA is filed under the name Pan troglodytes (chimpanzee). RNAcentral describes it as "retained intron". The record is from RNAcentral. Lineage: Eukaryota; Metazoa; Chordata; Mammalia; Primates; Hominidae.